RNAcentral lists this unclassified non-coding RNA (325 nucleotides) under Hevea brasiliensis (rubber tree). Lineage: Eukaryota; Viridiplantae; Streptophyta; Magnoliopsida; Malpighiales; Euphorbiaceae. The record is from RNAcentral.
AAUUAUUGAAUAAAGGCUUUAUCUGGUCGACGAAGAGUGCUUUCUGCAUAUUACUAGAGCCUAAACGCACUGAAAUGAAAUUAAACCGCUAAUGAGCCAUAGGGCAGAUGUGCUAACAAGCAAUCUGUUGCACUGCUCAACCCAUUUUGCCUUUUGCUUUUCGCUUUCAGGCCUGAGCUUGCUGGAUAGCACUAUGUCAAUUAGUCUGAACGUUAAAUUGUACUUUUGUAAACUGAGCUUGUUUGUGCAAGACAAUGAGAUUUUUUUAUAAUAUUGUUUAAAUUAAGGUAGUAUUCGGUAUGUAAAUGAAUUUUAUGAAACUUUA